GCUGGAUCCUCCUUGUGCCCCUGUAGAAAGGCUGGAGAUAAGGACGUAGGUGCUACUGGGGCGAAGCACAAGAAGCAUGGAGAGUGGCCUGCAAGGUUGUGCUUGAAGAAGAAAAAUAGCCGUGUUCCAGUUUCUGCCUUCCAAAGAACUGAUACAGACUGCAGCAAUGAGCUUACCUCAUGGCACUGAUCCCUGGGAAUUAAGCAGCUUCAGAAAAAUCACUGGGCUUCUUCAUUCAUAAGAAAUAUAAGGAAAGUGUGUCUGUACAGCGUCUGGCAAAGUAGUCCCCUGAUCCCUUGCUGGACAGGGAGGAGCUGCCAGCAUUAAGCACCAAGGGAGCAAGCUGAUAGGAAAUGCAUCUGACCUAUUGAGGUGGCACGAAGGCUGAAGUGUGAUCCUGGUGAAGGGGAAAUUCAGAGAAAUUGCUCCAUCAAGUGUUGAAAGGCUUGUGUGAUGUGGAGAAUUGCUUCAGUGCAGAAAGACUGUAAACCUGUUCAAUUAAAGGAAGUGCUCAGAUCCAGCUGUUGGUGUCCCAUGAAUGCCAGCGGUCCCAGCAAAGUAAAUAAGGCAGACACACUCCGCCUUUGGAACAGAUACGAAGAUUUGCGUCUUAAUUCUCCUGAAAGAAGAGUCUUUGUUUGGAAAAGACCGUUAGCAAAAUGAAAUAGAUGGGAGCAGAAGGGCAGUAUGACACAGAAGAAGCAAAGGUGUGUCACUGAACUCCUCCAUACAGGAAAAAAAUGGCACUAUUGAAAACAGAGUGAACACAAAUAUCCAUAAAGCAAAUGCAAACAAAAACAAUGCAAAGUUAACCUAAACGAAAAAUAAAUGUAAGCAAAGUUAAUGUAAACAAAGUCAAUGUAAAUGUAAACAAAAACAAUGUAAACAAAAGCAAACAAAAAACAAUCUAAACAAAAUAGAAGCUAACAUAUGCAAACUUAAUGUAAACAAACUAAAGGUAAACUAAAACAAAGUAAAUGAAAACAAAAUUAGUGUAAAUGCAAACAAACUUAACAUAAAUGUAAACAAAGCUAAAGUAAACAAAAACUUAAUGUAAAUAAAAACAAAGCUAACAUAAGCAGAGUUAACAUAAAUAUAAACAAAGCUAAUGUAAACAAAAUAGAUGCUAACAGAAACAGUUAACAUUAACCAAGUUAAUGUCAACCAAAACAAAGCUAAUGAACUUAAGGUAAACAAAAACAAUGUCAUGCAAACUAAAAGAAAGCUAAUGUAAACAAAUUAAUGUAAACAUAAAAUUAACAUAAACAAAUACAAAAUAUAAACAAAAGCAAAGUUAAUGUAAACAAAGGUACCGUAAACACAAGCAAAGCUAAUGUAAAGAAAAACAAGGUGAACGUAAACAAAAUAGGAGCUUAUGUAAACAAAGUUAAAGUGAGCAUAAACAAUUUUAAUGUAAAGAAAAACAAAGCUAAUGUAAACAAACUUAAUGUAAAUGAAGUUUUAAUGUAAACAAAGUUAAUGUAAUUGAAAACAGUUAAUGUAAAGAACAGCAAAGCUGAAGUAAAUAAAGCUAACGAAAACAGACCAGGUAAAUGAAAACAAGAUUAAUGUAAACAAAAAAAACGUGAACAUAGAAAAAUCAACGUCAUCAAAAACAAAGUUAGCAUAAACAAAGGUAAUGUCAACAGAAAUAAAUUUAAUGUAAACAGAAGGAAGUUAAGGUAAUGACAACGUUCAUGUAAACAAAGUAAAUGCAAACAAAGCAAACGGACA
This is a long non-coding RNA of Tympanuchus pallidicinctus (lesser prairie-chicken), 1734 nucleotides long. RefSeq lists it as uncharacterized. The transcript has 6 exons. Lineage: Eukaryota; Metazoa; Chordata; Aves; Galliformes; Phasianidae. The record is from RefSeq and is a predicted model, not a curated record.